GCCUGGGUGGCUCAGUCGGUUGAGCAUCUGACUUCGGCUCAGAUCAUGAUCUCAUAGUUUGUGUGUUCGAGCCCCGCGUCGGGCU
Molecule: transfer RNA, 85 nt
Filed under: Felis catus (domestic cat)
Lineage: Eukaryota; Metazoa; Chordata; Mammalia; Carnivora; Felidae
Rfam family: tRNA
About the family: Transfer RNA (tRNA) molecules are approximately 80 nucleotides in length.
Source: Rfam by way of RNAcentral